Molecule: ribosomal RNA, 487 nt
Filed under: uncultured bacterium
Lineage: Bacteria
Description: partial 16S ribosomal RNA
Rfam family: Bacterial small subunit ribosomal RNA
Source: RNAcentral
GAUGAACGCUAGCGAUAGGCUUAACACAUGCAAGUCGAGGGGCAGCACAAGGUAGCUUGCUCUCUGGGUGGCGACCGGCGCACGGGUGCGUAACGCGUAUGCAACUUGCCCUAUACAGGAGGAUAACCCGUCGAAAGACGGACUAAUACUGCGUAUGCUCACAACUUGGCAUCCAGUGGUGAGGAAAGAAAUUCGGUAUAGGAUAGGCAUGCGUCCCAUUAGCUUGUUGGUGAGGUAACGGCUCACCAAGGCAACGAUGGGUAGGGGAACUGAGAGGUUUAUCCCCCACACUGGUACUGAGACACAGACCAGACUCCUACGGGAGGCAGCAGUGAGGAAUAUUGGUCAAUGGGCGCGAGCCUGAACCAGCCAAGUCGCGUGAAGGAUGACUGUCUUAUGGAUUGUAAACUUCUUUUAUACGGGAAUAACAAGAGUCACGUGUGACUCCCUGCAUGUACCGGAUGAAUAAGCAUCGGCUAACUCCGUG